GAAAGGUUAUCUUAAAUUGAAAUAAAAUCAUCUAAUUAAAUAACAGCAGAGCUAGUAGGAGGAACUGCAGCCAUUAUGAUCAAAUUGAACUAGAAACCUUGAAGAAAAAACAGCCAUUGAGAGGAAACCCCACAUGCUCUGAGUCUGGUACAGUCCAUCCAUGAGCAAGUAGUUCUGGUGAAAGCUGGGAGCAAGGGCAGCUUGUUACCAAGAAACAGAGUGUACUCCUCUGAAAUGGAGGCAUGAGGGAAGUGCUGGUUCCUGCUGCACGCCCUUGGUUUAAGCAGAUGGAAUCAGUGGCUUUCCAUUAGCAUCUGUGGAGCUGUCUUUCUAGUAGCUGAUUUCCAGUGGGCAUCUGAAGUGCCAAGUGGCUGAAAACCAACACCAUGUCUCAUCCUGUAGGGGAGUGUUGGCCACGGAACUGAAUUCCCAAUCCUUAAUUACUGUGUCUGUAUAGGUGAUGAGCUGCCUGGAGCCAUAAUCAGGUAGAAAAAGGCUCUGAAACAAAUCUAUAGAGCAAGUUCUAUAUUUAUGUAUAGCCCUGAUGAUUGUUCAGACAUUUUAGUACAAGUUGCUAAUACCACCGUAUUUUUAUCAUGUGAAUAUGACUGUGUUAGUGAUUGUUGGGGUUUCUGGACAUGGCCUUAGAGCUUCAGAAACAAGAAGUUAUUUCAGCUGGCUGGGUGCAUUUAACAGUGAAUUUCAUGCUAGCAGUUCUGUGGUGAAAGGAACUCAGUGUACUUAAGGAGAAAGAAGCAGCUUUUUUUUUUUUUUUUUUUAAAAAAAAAAAACUGCACUGAUUUGGAACCUGUGAUCCCCUGAGGAAGCAUGUCUCAGCUAUAAAUACCCUCUGAGGUAGUGCAGUGGGUUAUCUGCACUGGGAUUAUCUUAUAGGUUUUGCAUUUGACUCUCUCAAGGGACAUUUUUAUUAUUCUCUGUGGAACAACAGUGAGGAAAAAUGACCAACAGGGAGAGUUUGAGAUAUCUUUAAUGAGAAGCUUCCUCCAUGGUUAAUUCUGCUCUCCAGGGUGAGCCUGCAGCUGUCCUGUAGCUAGCAGCCCAAGGACAGCUGGCCUCAUGGGGCAAAGUGUCACCUGGGAGCUGCAGAGAGAGCAGGAGUGAAAGUAACAGCUAAGCUUAUCUCAUAGAAUCUUUUUUUGAGUUGGAAGGGACCCUUACAGAUCAUCUAGUCCAAAUCCUCUGAAAUGAACAGGGAUACCUACAGCUAGAUCAGGUUGUUUGAAGCCCAGUCCAGCCUGACCCUGAAUGCCUCCAGGGAUGUGGGGUAUCCACCACCUCUCUGGGCAAGCUGUGCCAGUACCUCACCACUCUGAUUGUAUUAAAAUCUUUUU
This 1352-nucleotide long non-coding RNA is filed under the name Gallus gallus (chicken). RNAcentral describes it as "lncRNA (ENSGALG00010017194.1)". The record is from RNAcentral. Lineage: Eukaryota; Metazoa; Chordata; Aves; Galliformes; Phasianidae.